UACAGAGGUCUCAAGCUUUGUUCGGAUUCAUUGGGCGUAACGGGUGCGUAGGCGGCGCGGUAAGUCGGGUGUGAAAUCUCGGAGCUUAACUCCGAAACUGCAUUCGAUACUGCCGUGCUUGAGGACUGGAGAGGAGACUGGAAUUUACGGUGUAGCGGUGAAAUGCGUAGAUAUCGUAAGGAAGACCAGUGGCGAAGGCGGGUCUCUGGACAGUUCCUGACGCUGAGGCACGAAGGUCAGGGGAGCAAACGGG
This 253-nucleotide ribosomal RNA is filed under the name uncultured bacterium. Its description in RNAcentral is "partial 16S ribosomal RNA". It matches the Rfam family "Bacterial small subunit ribosomal RNA", at positions 524 to 776 of the family's 1533-position model. The record is from RNAcentral.